This 220-nucleotide ribosomal RNA is filed under the name Pleurotus pulmonarius. RNAcentral describes it as "partial large subunit ribosomal RNA". The record is from RNAcentral. Lineage: Eukaryota; Fungi; Basidiomycota; Agaricomycetes; Agaricales; Pleurotaceae.
AAACGCUUGAAGUCAGUCGCGUCUGCCAGGGAUCAACCUUACUUUUGUGAGGCGUACUUCCUGGUUGAUGGGUCAGCAUCAGUUUUGGUCGCUGGAUAAAGGUCAGAGAAAUGUGGCACCUUCGGGUGUGUUAUAGUCUUUGAUCAGAUACAGUGGCUGGGACUGAGGAACUCAGCGCCGCAAGGCUGUCUUAGGAUGCUGGCAAAAUGGCUUUAAUCGA